GAUGAACGCUAGCGGCAGGCCUAACACAUGCAAGUCGAACGGUAACAGGAAGUAGCUUGCUACUUUGCUGACGAGUGGCGCACGGGUGCGUAACGCGUAUACAAUCUACCUUUUACAGGGGGAUAGCCUUUAGAAAUGAAGAUUAAUACCCCAUGGUAUUAUCGAUAUGGCAUAUAUUGAUAAUUAAAGUUUCGGCGGUAAAAGAUAAGUAUGCGUUCUAUUAGCUAGAUGGUGUGGUAACGGCACACCAUGGCAACGAUAGAUAGGGGCCCUGAGAGGGGGAUCCCCCACACUGGUACUGAGACACGGACCAGACUCCUACGGGAGGCAGCAGUGAGGAAUAUUGGACAAUGGUCGGAAGACUGAUCCAGCCAUGCCGCGUGCAGGAUGACUGCCCUAUGGGUUGUAAACUGCUUUUGUACGAGAAGAACACCCUCUUCGUGAAGAGGACUGACGGUAUCGUACGAAUAAGGACCGGCUAACUCCGUGCCAGCAGCCGCGGUAAUACGGAGGGUCCGAGCGUUAUCCGGAAUCAUUGGGUUUAAAGGGUCCGUAGGCGGGCUAUUAAGUCAGAGGUGAAAUUGUGCAGCACAACUGUAGAACUGCCUUUGAUACUGAUAGUCUUGAGUUAUGGUGAAGUGGUUAGAAUAUGUAGUGUAGCGGUGAAAUGCUUAGAUAUUACAUAGAAUACCGAUUGCGAAGGCAGAUCACUAACAAUAUAUUGACGCUGAUGGACGAAAGCGUGGGUAGCGAACAGGAUUAGAUACCCUGGUAGUCCACGCCGUAAACGAUGGUUACUAGCUGUUUGGACGAAUUGACGUCUGAGUGGCCAAGCGAAAGUGAUAAGUAACCCACCUGGGGAGUACGUUCGCAAGAAUGAAACUCAAAGGAAUUGACGGGGGCCCGCACAAGCGGUGGAGCAUGUGGUUUAAUUCGAUGAUACGCGAGGAACCUUACCAAGGUUUAAAUGCAGAACGACAGGUCUAGAGAUAGACUCUUCUUCGGACGGACUGCAAGGUGCUGCAUGGUUGUCGUCAGCUCGUGCCGUGAGGUGUCAGGUUAAGUCCUAUAACGAGCGCAACCCCUACUGUUAGUUGCCAGCGAGUAAUGUCGGGGACUCUAGCGGGACUGCCGGCGUAAGCCGCGAGGAAGGUGGGGAUGACGUCAAAUCAUCACGGCCCUUACGUCCUGGGCUACACACGUGCUACAAUGGUGCGGACAAAGAGCAGCCACCUGGUGACAGGGAGCUAAUCUCUAAACCGCAUCUUAGUUCGGAUUGAAGUCUGCAACUCGACUUCAUGAAGCUGGAAUCGCUAGUAAUCGCAUAUCAGCCAUGAUGCGGUGAAUACGUUCCCGGGCCUUGUACACACCGCCCGUCAAGCCAUGGAAGCUGGGGGUGCCUGAAGUCGGUAACCGUAAGGAGCUGCCUAAGGCAAAACUAGUAACUAGGGCUAAGUCGUAACAAGGUAGCCGUACCGGAAGGUGC
RNAcentral lists this ribosomal RNA (1486 nucleotides) under uncultured prokaryote. Its description in RNAcentral is "partial 16S ribosomal RNA". It matches the Rfam family "Bacterial small subunit ribosomal RNA". The record is from RNAcentral.